This 253-nucleotide ribosomal RNA is filed under the name uncultured bacterium. Its description in RNAcentral is "partial 16S ribosomal RNA". It matches the Rfam family "Bacterial small subunit ribosomal RNA", at positions 524 to 776 of the family's 1533-position model. The record is from RNAcentral.
UACAGAGGUCCCAAGCGUUGUUCGGAUUUACUGGGCGUAAAGGGUGCGUAGGUGGCGAGGUAAGUUUGAUGUGAAAGCUCCGAGCUCAACUCGGAAAUGGCAUUGAAUACUAUCCCGCUUGAGGGUCGGAGGGGAGACUGGAAUUCUCGGUGUAGCAGUGAAAUGCGUAGAUAUCGAGAGGAACACCAGUGGCGAAGGCGAGUCUCUGGACGACUCCUGACACUGAGGCACGAAAGCUGGGGGAGCAAACAGG